This 207-nucleotide unclassified non-coding RNA is filed under the name Hevea brasiliensis (rubber tree). The record is from RNAcentral. Lineage: Eukaryota; Viridiplantae; Streptophyta; Magnoliopsida; Malpighiales; Euphorbiaceae.
AUUUAGAUGACUAUAACCAUCAUCAACCUUAUCACAUGUGCUUUCAAAGCCUGAUAAGAAUCGGUUUAGACAAGAUAUGCAUGAAUUAGUUGUGCUAUCAUGCAAUGAGUUGAAACUCUUCCUUAAAGCGACUACUGAUUUCCAGCAGUUCAGUAAAUAUUCAGAGUGGAAUUACAGUUUCUGUAUCCUUUAUUUAGUAAAACUGGA